CCUACGGGAGGCAGCAGUGAGGAAUAUUGGUCAAUGGACGAGAGUCUGAACCAGCCAAGUAGCGUGAAGGAUGAAUGCCCUAUGGGUUGUAAACUUCUUUUAUAUGGGAAUAAAACGUUCCACGUGUGGGAUUUUGUAUGUACCAUAUGAAUAAGCAUCGGCUAACUCCGUGCCAGCAGCCGCGGUAAUACGGAGGAUGCGAGCGUUAUCCGGAUUUAUUGGGUUUAAAGGGUGCGUAGGUGGAUUGUUAAGUCAGUUGUGAAAGUUUGCGGCUCAACCGUAAAAUUGCAGUUGAAACUGGCAGUCUUGAGUACAGUAGAGGUGGGCGGAAUGCGUGGUGUAGCGGUGAAAUGCUUAGAUAUCACGAAGAACCCCGAUUGCGAAGGCAGUUCACUGGACUGCAACUGACACUGAGGCUCGAAAGUGUGGGUAUCAAACAGGAUUAGAUACCCUUGUAGUC
Molecule: ribosomal RNA, 460 nt
Filed under: uncultured bacterium
Lineage: Bacteria
Description: partial 16S ribosomal RNA
Rfam family: Bacterial small subunit ribosomal RNA
Source: RNAcentral